CUUCAGAGCCCCUUUUUAAGUGCAGAAGUUUUAAAGAUCUUUUUUAUUCUUUUUUAUUUUUUAUCAAAAGAAAAAGAUUACGUUAAAGAACUUGAAGCGCUCUUAACGCACACAAGUAUGCUUAUGCAGGCCUUAAAUUUAUUGAAGUUUAUUAUUCUUAUCGAUUCACACGAAACAACUAUUCUUUGCGGUGGAGGCAAGGAAAUAUUUAUCCGCUUGACUCUUUUAUUAGAAAAAAAUUUGAAAAAAGC
Long non-coding RNA from Zophobas morio, 251 nucleotides. RefSeq lists it as uncharacterized. The transcript has 3 exons. NCBI's taxonomy places the organism in Eukaryota, Metazoa, Arthropoda, Insecta, Coleoptera, Tenebrionidae. The record is from RefSeq and is a predicted model, not a curated record.